Molecule: transfer RNA, 72 nt
Organism: Loxodonta africana (African savanna elephant)
Lineage: Eukaryota; Metazoa; Chordata; Mammalia; Proboscidea; Elephantidae
Rfam family: tRNA
About the family: Transfer RNA (tRNA) molecules are approximately 80 nucleotides in length. Their secondary structure includes four short double-helical elements and three loops (D, anti-codon, and T loops).
Source: Rfam
GGGGGUGUAGCUCAGUGGUACAGCAUGUGCUCAGCAUGCUUGAUGCCCUGGGUUCAAUUCCCAGCACCCCCA